RNAcentral lists this ribosomal RNA (506 nucleotides) under uncultured soil bacterium. RNAcentral's name for it is "bacterial SSU rRNA". It matches the Rfam family "Bacterial small subunit ribosomal RNA", at positions 11 to 496 of the family's 1533-position model. The record is from RNAcentral.
GUUUGAUCCUGGCUCAGAAUCAACGCUGGCGGCGUGCCUAACACAUGCAAGUCGAACGCGAAAGCCCUUUCGGGGGUAAGUAGAGUGGCGUCCGGGUGAGUAACACGUGGGUAAUCUGCCUCCGGGUGGGGAAUAACUCGCCGAAAGGUGAGCUAAUACCGCAUAAUGCAGCGGCACCAAAUGGUGAAUAGUUGUUAAAGCGGGGGACCCUUCGGGGCCUCGCGCCUGGAGAGGAGCCUGCGGCAGAUUAGCUAGUUGGUGGGGUAAUGGCUCACCAAGGCUUCGAUCUGUAGCUGGUCUGAGAGGACGGCCAGCCACACUGGCACUGACACACGGGCCAGACUCCUACGGGAGGCAGCAGUGGGGAAUUUUGGGCAAUGGGCGCAAGCCUGACCCAGCAACGCCGCGUGAGGGAGGAAAUCCUUCGGGAUGUAAACCUCACAAGCAAGGGAAGAGCGCUACAGGUCGAAUAAGCCUGUAGUCCGACGGUACCUGCUUAGCACCUU